AUCCCCAUCCCCAUCCUGUUCACAUGCUUGGCCCUUCUGGGUAGUUUGGAAGUUCCUGAGGACUUGGAUUCCUCUCGAGUUAAAGAACUCCACUGGCCAUGCUCAUUCCAACAGACUUGUGAACUGACUGAUCAUGGUCACCUGAGAAAGGUGACAGCGACUUCAGUCAACUGUGUCCUAACUGAGUGCCACGGCAUGAACAUCUAGGAGAGGCAGAAAACAGAAGUAAGAUUAAAAAGGAGGAGGAAAGCAGAGAUGGUAGGUAAGUGAGCAGAAAGGGACAGGAUCUCAGAAAGGGACAGGAUCUCAGAAAGGGACAGGAUCUCAGAAAGGGACAGCAUCUCAGAAAGGGACAGCAUCUCAGAAAGGGACAGCAUCUCAGAAAGGGACAACAUCUCACUCUGCGGCUUUUGGUGCACUUAGAGCUGAAGAUUCCGGAAUUUGGACGCAAGCCUGUGGGGCCUUGUCUGCAGGUGGGCUUCCCGAAUCCUGAUUCCUAGCUUGGCAUCCUGUGCAAGUCACUCCCCCCGGGUUCUUGGGUUUCACAGACUCACUAGAAGAUUCAUCCAGGGUUGAAGUUUGUUGAAAACCUCCUAUGGAAAGGUUCUAGCCACCAGAGAGAAAAGCCACACACCAAACGCAGAAUCUGGAAUAAACAGUGCUCCUCGAGACAUGAGCCCUUCCAGGUUGGUUCCCAAAAGAACUCCAUUCACAUGCUGCACAACAAUGUUUUGGUCUACAUAGAAGAUGGUGGUCCACCAGGUGGUGGUAGUGCAGGCCUUUAAUCCCAACACCUGGGAGGCAGAGCCAGGUGGAUCUCUGUGAGUUCGAGGCCAGCCUGGUCUACAGAGCAAGAUCCAGAACAAGCACCAAAACAACACAGCGAAACCCUG
Molecule: long non-coding RNA, 893 nt
Organism: Peromyscus californicus insignis
Lineage: Eukaryota; Metazoa; Chordata; Mammalia; Rodentia; Cricetidae
Exons: 3
Source: RefSeq, a predicted model, not a curated record